UUCCAAGUUAUCCAAGAACACUAUUCACUCCAGGCAGCUCGAAAUCUGAUAUCUUUCGCCAGAACUCCCUGAACAUCCGUUUUAGCUCAAAUUUGACAAUCAUGUUCGGUUUUACUUAACGAGUCUAAAGAAAUUUUAAUAUUUCAGUUUCGACCCCGUUUGGUCACCGAAAACUGUGCCGAAUUGCAAUCUUUAUCAGAUAGCUUUCGGAUUUUAUUUCUCGCUCUACGGGUGUCAGAAAAAUAUGAAACCUUAAAUCUAGCUUCAUAAAAAUAUUCCUGACUUAUUCUCCAAUUUUCAUAAUUUUCUGAGACUGUGCAUUUUCUGCUAAUUUUUCUCUCCCGUUUCCAACAGAAAAUUCUAGAUCUUCUGUUUUAAUUCCGAUUUCAGCACAGGUCAUUCCCAACUUAUAUUUCACUUCUCUAAAUUCAAUAAAAAUAGUAGCUCAUACUAUUUUUUAUUUAUUUCUAUUUUUUAUAUUUAAAUCCGGUAUAUUACAUUACACCGCAACCUUACCGGAACCAUUCAAAUGGCUCUCCAACCAAAUGGACACCGUAGCUUCAUAAUUUUAGAAGUCCGGUACCUUACA
RNAcentral lists this long non-coding RNA (589 nucleotides) under Ananas comosus (pineapple). RNAcentral's name for it is "long non-coding RNA (ACOM_LNC035394)". The record is from RNAcentral. Lineage: Eukaryota; Viridiplantae; Streptophyta; Magnoliopsida; Poales; Bromeliaceae.